Molecule: unclassified non-coding RNA, 298 nt
Filed under: Hevea brasiliensis (rubber tree)
Lineage: Eukaryota; Viridiplantae; Streptophyta; Magnoliopsida; Malpighiales; Euphorbiaceae
Source: RNAcentral
GGAAUGUAACACUUGCUUGGUUUACGAACUUGCUGUGCUCAUAUUGUCAUAUUAACUGAUUAUUAUUAUAUGCUGAUGCAUGCCCAUCAAGGCAAAACACUAUUCUUAUUUAGGUGGCGCAUUAUUUAGUAGGGUUAUGGGAAAAUUGAUGCUAUAGAUUAGAGUUCCUGAUCUUAAAGAAUUCUGCCAUGGGUGUAGCUCAUAUAGGAAUAUUCUGUAAAAUGUAAGGGUUUGUUUGGCAUUGUUGCAUACCUCAUGCAAAUUUAUAAUUUUGGGGGAACCAAAAUUAAUAGAAGAA